UCCGGUUUGUCACCGGCAGUCUCCCUAGAGUUCCCGCCAUUACGCGCUGGCAACUAGGGACAAGGGUUGCGCUCGUUACGGGACUUAACCCAACACCUCACGACACGAGCUGACGACAGCCAUGCACCACCUGUGCACAGGCCCCGAAGGGCUGCCGUGUUUCCACGACAUUCCUGUGCAUGUCAAGCCUAGGUAAGGUUCUUCGCGUCGCGUCGAAUUAAACCACACGCUCCGCUGCUUGUGCGGGCCCCCGUCAAUUCCUUUGAGUUUUAGCCUUGCGGCCGUACUCCCCAGGCGGGAUACUUAGAGCGUUAGCGACGGCACCCGGGGACUAUAUAACCCCAGACACCAAGCAUUCAUCGUUUAAGGCUAGGACUA
Molecule: unclassified non-coding RNA, 378 nt
Filed under: uncultured bacterium
Lineage: Bacteria
Description: contains 16S-23S intergenic spacer region
Source: RNAcentral